RNAcentral lists this ribosomal RNA (447 nucleotides) under uncultured bacterium. RNAcentral's name for it is "partial 16S ribosomal RNA". It matches the Rfam family "Bacterial small subunit ribosomal RNA", at positions 29 to 523 of the family's 1533-position model. The record is from RNAcentral.
AACGAACGCUGGCGGCAGGCUUAACACAUGCAAGUCGAACGCCCCGCAAGGGGAGUGGCAGACGGGUGAGUAACACGUGGGAACGUGCCCUAAGGUUCGGAAUAUUCCCGGGAAACUGGGAGCAAUACCGAAUGUGUCCGAGAGGAGAAAGAUUUAUCGCCUUAGGAUCGGCCCGCGUCGGAGUAGCUAGUUGGUGGGGUAAUGGCCUACCAAGGCGACGAUCCGUAGCUGGUCUGAGAGGACGACCAGCCACACUGGGACUGAGACACGGCCCAGACUCCUACGGGAGGCAGCAGUGGGGAAUCUUGGACAAUGGGCGCAAGCCUGAUCCAGCCAUGCCGCGUGGAUGAUGAAGGCCUUAGGGUUGUAAAAUCCUUUCGCCGAGGACGAUAAUGACGGUACUCGGAGAAGAAGCUCCGGCUAACUUCGUGCCAGCAGCAGCCGCCG